UGUAAACAAGUCGAUACAUCAUUGGAUUUUUGUUUUAAUCAAUCGUUUUACAAAACCAAACCUCGCGACUUAACUUGUUCGUGCCACAAAUUUGAAUACGUUUUCUAUGGUAAAGACUGCAUUUAGAGAUACAGAUUGCCAGGCAUCAACUCGUUACGCAGAGCAAAGAUUACCGAUUGGUCGGCGGAGAUCACACGGCCUAUGCAUUCAGGAGUAUCAGGCAUACCCGGUAUGAUGGAUAUAUGGGACGCGAUAUCGGAAAACAGAAGCAAACGGAUCCAAGUAGUUUCCAAAGCAACCAUUGGCGAUUUGAUAAGACUGCAAGGCCUGGAUCCAAAGAACGAAUUGAACACUUCAGACUACCGUGCAGAAGAUACUCGAAUUUAUACAAAUAAACACUCUAAACGGAACGACAUCAACGCGACAAUGAACCUACAGCGCAGAACUUCAAUAUUUGUAGGAAAUAAGCUCCAAAGAAUGCGGAAAUUGCUAGAUCUAGAAGAAACGUUCAGUCGACGGUUUUUUUGUAUGUUCAUCUGAUUUCGUUUAAGGACACGAGCACUUGGGCAAUCUAAAUGCCUGCAUCGGAGCUGAGUUUUGUUUUCUAUGGCGAUAUGACGUAUGCAAAUGUGAAGAUGGCAGUGGAAAAUCAAAGCGGUUCUGCACGUAGUUUUGGAUCGUUCGGAUCGCAGCUAUUACUAUGCGAUGCCGGGGUUCUGGACGAAACAUCCAGCUGGACCAAUCCUAAAUAGUUCCUCUUUUAAAUUCAGAACAGACUUAUGGAAAGAGGUAGCCAAACCUGGAGCAAACGGCGCGUUUCUGUAUUGCAUCGCCAUGGCUAUUUGUCGAGCGUACUGGUGCCCCCCUUCUCAAGACGGUCUUAUGCGUUAUAUUCAUUCUGAUCCUGUACAAGAUAAAAGUUUAGAAAUACUGCGAACCACCAGACGAAAUGCUUCAUUUGUUAUUAUAGUGAUUCGAUGUGCAGAAGUCACGAUUUCCUAUUCUCAAGUUUGCUACAACCUAUGUUAAUCCUGGAACAUAAACAAAAGA
Uranotaenia lowii is the source of this 1050-nucleotide long non-coding RNA. RefSeq lists it as uncharacterized. The transcript is spliced from 3 exons. Lineage: Eukaryota; Metazoa; Arthropoda; Insecta; Diptera; Culicidae. The record is from RefSeq and is a predicted model, not a curated record.